GGGAGGUAGUGACAAUAAAUAACAAUACGGGGCUCUUUCGGGUCUCGUAAUUGGAAUGAGUACAAUUUAAAUCCCUUAACGAGGAACAAUUGGAGGGCAAGUCUGGUGCCAGCAGCCGCGGUAAUUCCAGCUCCAAUAGCGUAUAUUAAAGUUGUUGCAGUUAAAAAGCUCGUAGUUGAAUUUCGGGAUUGACACAUCGGUCGUGCCUUAAGGGGUAUGAACUGGUGUAGUCAAUUUCUCACCUUCUGGAGAACCGCGAUGCCCUUAAUUGGGUGUCACGGGGAACCAGGACCUUUACUUUGAAAAAUUAGAGUGUUUAAAGCAGGCAUUUUGCUUGAAUACAUUAGCAUGGAAUAAUAAAAUAGGACGGCAUGAUUCUAUUUUGUUGGUUUCUAGGAUCACCGUAAUGAUUAAUAGGGAUAGUUGGG
RNAcentral lists this ribosomal RNA (428 nucleotides) under uncultured Entrophosporaceae. RNAcentral describes it as "SSU rRNA". It matches the Rfam family "Eukaryotic small subunit ribosomal RNA", at positions 459 to 886 of the family's 1831-position model. Lineage: Eukaryota; Fungi; Glomeromycota; Glomeromycetes; Entrophosporales; Entrophosporaceae. The record is from RNAcentral.